Small nuclear RNA from Vulpes vulpes (red fox), 108 nucleotides. NCBI's taxonomy places the organism in Eukaryota, Metazoa, Chordata, Mammalia, Carnivora, Canidae. The record is from Ensembl.
GUGCUUGCUUCAACAGCAUACAUACUAAAACUCGAAUGAAAACAGAGAAGGUUAAUACGGCCUCUAAGCAAAGUUUACAGGUGAAUUGAUGAAAUGUUCUGCCUUUUA